GCGGUCAGCCUUGUGCGGCAGAACGCUCCCCAACCCCGUCAGGUCCGGAAGGAAGCAGCGGUAAGGAGAUGGUCUGGGUGCCACAAGACUCUGGCCGCUCAG
This 102-nucleotide signal recognition particle RNA is filed under the name Jonquetella anthropi DSM 22815. RNAcentral describes it as "Bacterial signal recognition particle RNA". It matches the Rfam family "Bacterial small signal recognition particle RNA". Rfam says of the family: The signal recognition particle (SRP) is a universally conserved ribonucleoprotein involved in the co-translational targeting of proteins to membranes. Archaeal SRP consists of a 7S RNA and homologues of the eukaryotic SRP19 and SRP54 proteins. In most bacteria, the SRP consists of a 4.5S RNA and the Ffh protein (a homologue of the eukaryotic SRP54 protein). The record is from RNAcentral. Lineage: Bacteria; Thermotogati; Synergistota; Synergistia; Synergistales; Dethiosulfovibrionaceae.